GGGGUUGUAGCUCAGUGGUAGAGCGCUUGCCUAGUAUGUGUGAGGCACUGGGAUGAAUCCUCAGCCCCA
Molecule: transfer RNA, 69 nt
Filed under: Ictidomys tridecemlineatus (thirteen-lined ground squirrel)
Lineage: Eukaryota; Metazoa; Chordata; Mammalia; Rodentia; Sciuridae
Description: Spermophilus tridecemlineatus (thirteen-lined ground squirrel) tRNA
Rfam family: tRNA
About the family: Transfer RNA (tRNA) molecules are approximately 80 nucleotides in length. Their secondary structure includes four short double-helical elements and three loops (D, anti-codon, and T loops). Further hydrogen bonds mediate the characteristic L-shaped molecular structure. tRNAs have two regions of fundamental functional importance: the anti-codon, which is responsible for specific mRNA codon recognition, and the 3' end, to which the tRNAs corresponding amino acid is attached (by aminoacyl-tRNA synthetases). tRNAs cope with the degeneracy of the genetic code in two manners: having more than one tRNA (with a specific anti-codon) for a particular amino acid; and 'wobble' base-pairing, i.e. permitting non-standard base-pairing at the 3rd anti-codon position.
Source: Rfam by way of RNAcentral